GUGGGGAAUUUUGGACAAUGGGCGAAAGCCUGAUCCAGCCAUGUCGCGUGCAGGAUGAAGGCCUUCGGGUUGUAAACUGCUUUUGUACGGAACGAAAAGACUCCUUCUAAUAAAGGGGGUCCAUGACGGUACCGUAAGAAUAAGCACCGGCUAACUACGUGCCAGCAGCCGCGGUAAUACGUAGGGUGCAAGCGUUAAUCGGAAUUACUGGGCGUAAAGCGUGCGCAGGCGGUUAUAUAAGACAGAUGUGAAAUCCCCGGGCUCAACCUGGGAACUGCAUUUGUGACUGUAUAGCUAGAGUACGGUAGAGGGGGAUGGAAUUCCGCGUGUAGCAGUGAAAUGCGUAGAUAUGCGGAGGAACACCGAUGGCGAAGGCAAUCCCCUGGACCUGUACUGACGCUCAUGCACGAAAGCGUGGGGAGCAAACAGGAUUAGAAACCCUGGUAGUCC
This 450-nucleotide ribosomal RNA is filed under the name uncultured bacterium. Its description in RNAcentral is "partial 16S ribosomal RNA". It matches the Rfam family "Bacterial small subunit ribosomal RNA", at positions 354 to 796 of the family's 1533-position model. The record is from RNAcentral.